Long non-coding RNA from Dendronephthya gigantea, 2296 nucleotides. RefSeq lists it as uncharacterized. The record is from RefSeq and is a predicted model, not a curated record. The transcript has 3 exons. Lineage: Eukaryota; Metazoa; Cnidaria; Anthozoa; Malacalcyonacea; Nephtheidae.
UUCUAUGAACAGUGUUCCAAAAGGUUCAGAACUGUAAAUAGAGCAGGCGUUUUGAGAUUAUGUAAUAUGAAUCAAGAUAUCUGAUUUCAAAAGUGAAAAGAGAUAAAGUGAAAAAAUAAUGAUGUAAUGAUCACUCGUGACACAAGAAGGGGUACGACAGGUCUUCGUUGAAGGAGCUGUCCCUGUUGUAGAACGUGUUGGCGAACUGGUUGUGGCAUUUGCUGGACGCGCAGUUGUACUCGGUGUUACUGUACCGUUCGGCUGCUUGUGCUUGGACGAACUGCCAUCGCUGGUCGACUUAUUUUUCUCCACAGCAUACAACGCAAUAAACACGACAGACAAGACGAGUAGCACCAGAAACAACGUGGCCAAAAGCAAGCGCGCUUUCGAAGGUUUCCGCGUUUCGGGCUCUUCAAGCAAACCAAAAGAAAUUGACGAUGGCAUAUUUACUUAUAAGCUAGACAGGAGCCUGAGAAAUCUAAAAUGAUGCGAUUAGAAUGAAGCAAGUUGGAAUUAUGCCUAAGCACAUGGAAUUAUGCCUUGACACUACAGCACACCUGAGGCUGUCAACGACUCUGCGCGCAGAAUUUCCUUACAAGUUCUUUUGCAUUCCUCAGUUUUCCCUAAAAUGAUAAACAGGAAGACCGAAUUUGGGAAGUAAAAAGGUCGACGAAAUAUUCUGCGUAGGCGACUCUCUGAGCGGGAAUUUAGUCAAAGCGAAAACAAUUAUAUUCCCUCUCAAAUUCCUCAGUCUUUGCUACAAUGAUAAGCUGCAACAACGGUUAAUGGAGUGUCCCAUCCAGCGACUGACCGAAUUUAAAGGAGUCAAAAGGUUGACUAAAUAUUCUGCGUGGACGAUACGCUGCCUUUUUCACUAGAUCAGAACUAAAGAAGUGUAGACAGUCUGAGUGGGCAUUUCCUCAACGCCAAAUAUAGGGGAAGUAAAAUAGGGAAGCAAAAAGGGGAAAUAUUGCAGAUGUGCGGUUCUUCUUAGAAUAUAUCGCGUCUUUGACGUCAUAUCACUACGAGAACACAUCCGCCGCUGAUUCAGAGCAAGAUAUCAUAUUGGUAGAAGAUAUUGUUGAUUGCUAAGCGAGCGAGCGAGCCUAAACAUUUGGCCACACUAUGGCUCACAAGAAGAUGGCAAAAACAUACUACCAAACGGCGCAAGUGUUCUUCGGUGUUGGGCAUCUGAAUGCUUUACUGAAUUCAGGAAAGUUGUGGAGUGGAACACGUACUCUGAAAAAGAUAAUACAUAAAUUAUCAGACGCUUUUACCACAACAACAUGUGGUUAGAAUUCUUUUGCUUUCAGUUGAGGCAAUACUCUAAGAUAGCCCAGUUCAUACACGUAUAAUUAUAAAAGGCCCUUUACACUACGCGAUUUGUCGUAUACGAUUCGUACCCUGGCGUAUGUGAACCUAUGAUCACCAGAUCAGUGAUGAACACACGUACAACGAGAGGUACGCAUAGCGUACAUGUGGGUACCCUCGAAAACAUCAGCAGCGAUUACAGUAAAGCAAAGCACUGCAAUUUAUAUAGUCUAUUUCAUAUUAUAUAGACAAUUAUCGAGUUAAUUUAAAUAUUGCUGAAGAUUUUUAUUUGUCAGUAUAUUCGUCAGUAAUGUACCUGCAAGUCAGCAAGAAGUCAGCAGUGUUAUUUUGUUUGAAUACAGCAGCAGUUGCGGCUGUUAAUUAUUUUAUAUACCCGCACAAUGGCUGGGUUCAAAUUUCAAUACCCACACAGUGGCUGGGUUCACUUUCAAUACCCGCACAAUGGCUGGGUUCAAUUUCAAUACCUGCACAAUGGCUAGGUUCAAUUUUGGUACGUGGCCUUUCAUGUAAAUAGUACCCUGGUCUAUGAUGACGACCAGUGCGAGCAACAAUGGCUUCGGUUUUUUUGAAUUUUUCGAUACGUCAUACGCGCACUCUGACAUGUGGAGCGCCUGACAAGAUGAUGUCAGUGCAGGCAAAAUUGCCCCGUAUACAACGAAAUGUACGCUUGUAAAAUCUGAUUGUAGUCGAAAUUGCUCGACCACAGUAGAUAAAUAAGCGAUUAAAAUAAAAAAAACCCACAAAAAGCAAUACAGCUUAACUUAACUUUGUAAAAAUCUGAAACAACGCAGUCCACGCCUCCACGAAAUCACAGUGGAAACUCGAAAUCUUUAAUCUUGGCAAAAUAACAACUUACGAUAUUUUCCGAACUAUUUACGAUAUUUUCCGGAAGUCAUAACGAACGAUAUUAUCGUCGUUUAUAAUAUGAAUGAAGAUUGUGGCAUAGGCCCUCUUUUCCAUCCGU